Molecule: ribosomal RNA, 217 nt
Filed under: uncultured bacterium
Lineage: Bacteria
Description: partial 16S ribosomal RNA
Rfam family: Bacterial small subunit ribosomal RNA
Source: RNAcentral
ACGCUCGACACCUACGGAGGCAGCAGUGAGGAAUAUUGGUCAAUGGGCGCUAGCCUGAACCAGCCAAGUAGCGUGAAGGAUGAAGGCUCUAUGGGUCGUAAACUUCUUUUAUAUAAGAAUAAAGUGCAGUAUGUAUACUGUUUUGUAUGUAUUANAUGAAUAAGGAUCGGCUAACUCCGCGCCAGCAGCCGCGGUAAUCUGAGCGGGCUGGCAAGGC